This 1474-nucleotide ribosomal RNA is filed under the name Vibrio cholerae. RNAcentral describes it as "partial 23S ribosomal RNA". It matches the Rfam family "Bacterial large subunit ribosomal RNA", at positions 1 to 1531 of the family's 2925-position model. The record is from RNAcentral. Lineage: Bacteria; Pseudomonadati; Pseudomonadota; Gammaproteobacteria; Vibrionales; Vibrionaceae.
UGUAUGGUUAAGUGACUAAGCGUACACGGUGGAUGCCUGGGCAGUCAGAGGCGAUGAAGGACGUACUAACUUGCGAUAAGCGCAGAUAAGGCAGUAAGAGCCGUUUGAGUCUGCGAUUUCCGAAUGGGGAAACCCAACUGCAUAAGCAGUUACUGUUAACUGAAUACAUAGGUUAACAGAGCAAACCGGGGGAACUGAAACAUCUAAGUACCCCGAGGAGAAGAAAUCAACCGAGAUUCCGGUAGUAGCGGCGAGCGAACCUGGAUUAGCCCUUAAGCACUCGGUGAAGUAGGUGAACAAGCUGGAAAGCUUGGCGAUACAGGGUGAUAGCCCCGUAACCGACGCUUCAUCGAGCGUGAAAUCGAGUAGGGCGGGACACGUGAUAUCCUGUCUGAAUAUGGGGGGACCAUCCUCCAAGGCUAAAUACUCCUGACUGACCGAUAGUGAACCAGUACCGUGAGGGAAAGGCGAAAAGAACCCCUGUGAGGGGAGUGAAAUAGAACCUGAAACCGUGUACGUACAAGCAGUAGGAGCACCUUCGUGGUGUGACUGCGUACCUUUUGUAUAAUGGGUCAGCGACUUAUAUUCAGUGGCAAGGUUAACCGUAUAGGGGAGCCGUAGCGAAAGCGAGUCUUAACUGGGCGCUCAGUCUCUGGAUAUAGACCCGAAACCGGGUGAUCUAGCCAUGGGCAGGUUGAAGGUUGAGUAACAUCAACUGGAGGACCGAACCGACUAAUGUUGAAAAAUUAGCGGAUGACUUGUGGCUAGGGGUGAAAGGCCAAUCAAACUCGGAGAUAGCUGGUUCUCCCCGAAAGCUAUUUAGGUAGCGCCUCGGACGAAUACUACUGGGGGUAGAGCACUGUUAAGGCUAGGGGGUCAUCCCGACUUACCAACCCUUUGCAAACUCCGAAUACCAGUAAGUACUAUCCGGGAGACACACGGCGGGUGCUAACGUCCGUCGUGGAGAGGGAAACAACCCAGACCGCCAGCUAAGGUCCCAAAGUAUUGCUAAGUGGGAAACGAUGUGGGAAGGCUCAGACAGCUAGGAUGUUGGCUUAGAAGCAGCCAUCAUUUAAAGAAAGCGUAAUAGCUCACUAGUCGAGUCGGCCUGCGCGGAAGAUGUAACGGGGCUAAGCAAUACACCGAAGCUGCGGCAAUAUCUUUUAGAUAUUGGGUAGGGGAGCGUUCUGUAAGCCGUUGAAGGUGAAUCGUAAGGUUUGCUGGAGGUAUCAGAAGUGCGAAUGCUGACAUGAGUAACGACAAAGGGGGUGAAAAACCUCCUCGCCGGAAGACCAAGGGUUCCUGUCCAACGUUAAUCGGGGCAGGGUGAGUCGACCCCUAAGGUGAGGCCGAAAGGCGUAAUCGAUGGGAAACGGGUUAAUAUUCCCGUACUUCUGACUAUUGCGAUGGGGGGACGGAGAAGGCUAGGUGGGCCAGGCGACGGUUGUCCUGGUUCAAGUGCGUAGGCUUGAGA